GCGGGGGUCGCAGAGCUAGGUCAACCUGCAUAUGAGGGCUAUAUGCGCGGGACUCAAGAUCCCGUCCCGUAGGGGUUCGUGGGUUCGAAUCCCACCCCCCGCA
Molecule: transfer RNA, 103 nt
Filed under: Candidatus Bathyarchaeota archaeon
Lineage: Archaea; Thermoproteati; Candidatus Bathyarchaeota
Description: tRNA-Leu
Rfam family: tRNA
About the family: Transfer RNA (tRNA) molecules are approximately 80 nucleotides in length. Their secondary structure includes four short double-helical elements and three loops (D, anti-codon, and T loops).
Source: RNAcentral